CUUUGAUUUUUUGAAGUGUGAUGUUUUUAUAAGUGAAUAUGCUAUGCUAUUGAGCAUUUUUCUUUCAGGAGCAAUCUUCCAUUUUGACUGGUAUUGAUUGAAAACUAGUUCUUUGCUUACACAUUUACAUGGUGACAAUUGGAUUUUUUUUUUUUUUUUUUUACGAUUAGAUUCUGGUUUCCUGUGCUUCAAACUUGGUUUCUCCUUCAUCCUGGAUACUUCCAGAGCCGGGGACCACUCAUAUGAUAAUGCCAGGGACAUGGAUGAAUCUGGAGAUCAUCCUCAGCAAACUGACACAAGAACAGAAAAUGAAACACUGCAUAUUCUCACUCAUAGGCGGGUGAUGAAAAAUGAGAACACAUGGACACAGAAAGGGGAGUACUAAACACUGGGGUCUAUUAAGAGGAAAAGGGGAGGGCCAGUGGGAGGGGGAGGUGGGGAGAGAUAGCUUGGGGAGAAAUACCAAAUGUGGGUGAAGGGGAGAAGGAAAGCAAAGCACACUGCCAUGUGUGUACCUACGCAACUGUCUUGCAUGCUCUGCUCAUGUACCCCAAAACCUAAAAUCCAAUAAAAAAUUUAAAAAAAAAAAAAAAAAAAAGGAAAAAAAAAUUCUUAACCAUUUUUUGUACCAAAGAUGCCUUUGGCGGUCUGACAAAGACCAUGGGUCCCCUUCGUAGGACAAUGUUUGUAAAUACAUAAAAGAUGCAGGACUGCAAUUCUAUUAAAAUAAGUUCUCAAACAUGUUUAAAAGUUGGGGCAUCUCAUAUAUGGGCCUCUUGUUGAAGUCAUUAAGUAUCGGGAUCUCAUGGUGGGUUUAAUAAUGAGCGCAGGCAUAUUUUGUUUUACUAAGGUUUUCUUUAUUGUGCUUUUUACAAAUUGAAGGUGUGUGGUAACCCUGUGUUGAGCAAGUCCAU
Molecule: long non-coding RNA, 914 nt
Filed under: Callithrix jacchus (white-tufted-ear marmoset)
Lineage: Eukaryota; Metazoa; Chordata; Mammalia; Primates; Cebidae
Description: lncRNA (ENSCJAG00000083651.1)
Source: RNAcentral